This 166-nucleotide non-coding RNA is filed under the name bovine gut metagenome. RNAcentral's name for it is "Lysine riboswitch". It matches the Rfam family "Lysine riboswitch aptamer". From Rfam's summary of the family: Riboswitches are metabolite binding domains within certain messenger RNAs that serve as precision sensors for their corresponding targets. The record is from RNAcentral.
UGAGAUAGAGGAUGCACCUAGUCAGGAGUAUCUGUUCCGUAAGAUGUGCAGAUCGGGAACAGCGAAAGGGGCGGGUGCCGAAGCGAUGACCGGCCUGCAUGCCGUCUGAACUGGGAGUAUGGAUAAUAUCCAUGCGACUGUCGCGAAGGAACGCGGAGAGCUAUCC